GGGAUUGCCUCAGUAACGGCGAGUGAAGCGGCAACAGCUCAAAUUUGAAAUCUGGCUCCUUUCGGGGUCCGAGUUGUAAUUUGUAGAGAGUGCUUCGGGGGAGACCGCGGUCUAAGUCCAUUGGAACAUGGCGUCAUAGAGGGUGAGAAUCCCGUAUGUGACCGUGGCUUGAACCCAUGUGAAGCCUCUUCGACGAGUCGAGUUGUUUGGGAAUGCAGCUCAAAAUGGGUGGUAAAUUUCAUCUAAAGCUAAAUACUGGCUGGAGACCGAUAGCGCACAAGUAGAGUGAUCGAAAGAUGAAAAGCACUUUGGAAAGAGAGUUAAAAAGUACGUGAAAUUGUUGAAAGGGAAGCGCUUGCAACCAGACCUGCCCGUAGGCGAUCAGCCGCUGUUUUCAGCGGUGCACUCGCUCUGCGAUCAGGCCAGCAUCGGUUCUGGCGGCCGGAUAAAGGCCCCGGGAACGUAGCUUCCCUUCGGGGGAGUCUUAUAGCCCGGGGUGCAAUGCGGCCAGCCGGGACCGAGGACCGCGCUUCGGCUAGGAUGCUGGCGUAAUGGUUGUAAGCGACCCGUCUUGAAACACGGACCAAGGAGUGUACCACAUAUGCGAGUGUUUGGGUGUCAAACCCAUGCGCGGAAUGAAAGUGAACGGAGGUGAGAACCCUUAAGGGCGCAUCAUCGACCGAUCCAGAUGUCUUCGGAUGGAUUUGAGUAUGAGCAUAUUUGGUGCGACCCGAAAGAUGGUGAACUAUGCCUGAAUAGGGUGAAGCCAGAGGAAACUCUGGUGGAGGCUCGCAGCGGUUCUGACGUGCAAAUCGAUCGUCAAAUUUGGGUAUAGGGGCGAAAGACUAAUC
This 851-nucleotide ribosomal RNA is filed under the name Melanelixia subaurifera. RNAcentral describes it as "eukaryotic LSU rRNA". It matches the Rfam family "Eukaryotic large subunit ribosomal RNA", at positions 71 to 936 of the family's 3401-position model. Lineage: Eukaryota; Fungi; Ascomycota; Lecanoromycetes; Lecanorales; Parmeliaceae. The record is from RNAcentral.